CCAGACUCCUACGUGAGGCAGCAGUGAGGAAUAUUGCGCAAUGGGCGAAAGCCUUGCCGCAGCGACGCCGCGUGGGGGAAGAAGGUCUUCGGAUUGUAAACCCCUUUCAGGAGGAAAGCUGGGGUGGGUAACCACUCGGACGGUACCUCCAGAAGAAGCCACGGCUAACUUCGUGCCAGCAGCCGCGGUAAUACGAAGGUGGCGAGCGUUGUUUGGAUUUACUGGGCGUAAAGAGCACGUAGGCGGUUUGGUAAGCCCCUUGGGAAAGCUCCAGGCUUAACCUGGAAAGGUCGAGGGGGACUGCCAGGCUAGAGGACGGGAGAGGAGCGCGGAAUUCCCGGUGUAGCGGUGAAAUGCGUAGAUAUCAGGAGGAAGGCCGG
Molecule: ribosomal RNA, 380 nt
Filed under: uncultured bacterium
Lineage: Bacteria
Description: bacterial SSU rRNA
Rfam family: Bacterial small subunit ribosomal RNA
Source: RNAcentral